GACGAACGCUGGCGGCGCGCCUAACACAUGCAAGUCGAACGGAGUUUGAGAGAGCUUGCUUUUUCAAACUUAGUGGCGAACGGGUGAGUAACGCGUGAGGAACCUGCCUUUCAGAGGGGGACAACAGUCGGAAACGACUGCUAAUACCGCAUGAUGCAUUUGGGCUGCAUGGCUCUGAAUGCCAAAGAUUUAUCGCUCUGAGAUGGACUCGCGUCUGAUUAGCUAGUUGGUGAGGUAACGGCUCACCAAGGCGACGAUCAGUAGCCGGACUGAGAGGUUGGCCGGCCACAUUGGGACUGAGACACGGCCCAG
RNAcentral lists this ribosomal RNA (312 nucleotides) under uncultured bacterium. Its description in RNAcentral is "bacterial SSU rRNA". It matches the Rfam family "Bacterial small subunit ribosomal RNA", at positions 28 to 334 of the family's 1533-position model. The record is from RNAcentral.